This 2801-nucleotide ribosomal RNA is filed under the name Nannizzia nana. Its description in RNAcentral is "LSU rRNA". It matches the Rfam family "Bacterial large subunit ribosomal RNA". The record is from RNAcentral. Lineage: Eukaryota; Fungi; Ascomycota; Eurotiomycetes; Onygenales; Arthrodermataceae.
UAUGUAAAGAAACUAUUAAGGAUAAUUAGCUAUAUAUUAAAGAUAAUUAUAAAUCUAAAAUCUAAGAUAAAUUAAUUAAAUAAACAAAGUGAACUGAAGUAUCUUAGUAACUUUAGGAAAAGAAAUCAAACGAGAUUUUAUUAAAAAUUUUUUUAAUAAAAAAGCUUAUAAGUAAAACGAAAAAAAUUUGUUUGAAAAAAGGGGAACCUUCCUCUAAAGCUAAAUAUAAUAUAUAAGCGAUAGUGAAAAGUACCGUGAGGGAAAAUUUGAAUUAGUAGUUUUAUAAGCAGCUCGAAACAAAGAGUGUACCUUUUGCAUAAUGGGUCAGCAAGUUAUGUUUAGAAGCGAGCAAUAAAAUAUUGCCUAGUUAAACCAAUUAUGAAAAAAUAAUAAAGUUUCUAAACAUAGACCCGAAAGCUAGUGAUCUUACCAUGGUCAGGGUAAUAAAGCCCGAACGAGUUAUCGUUGUAAAGAUAUUCGAUGAACUGUGGUAAGUUGGUGAAAGAUAAAACUGACUAGUAUAGCUGGUUUUCCGCGAAACCUAUUUAAGUAGGUAAUUUAACUAACAUCUUAGCAGGUACAGAACUGUGAUCUCGGGCAAAAAUUUAUUUUUGUAAAUAUCGGGGGAUCGUGUAGAUUUUAUCGGAGAGUAUUUGCACUCGGAAUGGCAAAGAUGAAUGUUGAAUAAUCAGACAUAGUGCGAUAAGGUUGUAUGUCUAAAGGGAAACAGCCCAGAACAAGAGUAAUAAGGUUCCAAAAUUAUUAUUGAGUGAAAUUAAGGAUGUUUUUAUCAAAUACAAUCAGGAAAUAGGCUUAGAAGCUGCCAUUUUUUGAAGAUCUCGUAACAGAGCACUGAUUAAAUAUUUUAGAUAUAAAUACCGAAAAUAUAACGGAUCUAAAUAAUAUACCGAAACCUUGUACGUAUUAUUAUACGGGGUAGCGGAACAUUGGAUAAAUCUUAGAUUUUAUCUUUUUUAAGUUAAAAAAAUAAUAGAUAAUCCAAGAGAGAAUGCUGACAUGAGUAACGAAAAAGGAAAACUAAUAGAAAAUUUAGAUUUUUAUCUUUAUUGAGUAAUUAGAAUUUAUUUUCCUCGCCUUAAGCUUAUGGUUUAUUUUAAAUUUCGGUAUCUAAAUAUAUACCCCAAAGGGUCUGUAUGAUGAUAAUAAUAAUUAUUUUUUGUAAACAAAAUCUUUAUUUAGUGUUAAAGGUUCAGGAAAUUGUAACAAAAAUCUAAAAUAAUUAUAAACCGUACCUAAAUACUAUCGCAAGUAAGCAAGUAGAGUAUACAAAGGCGUUUGAGUGAACAAUCAUUAAGGAACUCGGCAAAUUAACUACCGUAACUUCGGGAUAAGGAGGACCGUUAUUAUAGAUACAUAUGUAUCGAAAUAGUAAGAGGAAUCAUAAAAUAGUGUUGUACGACUGUUUAAUUAAAACAAAGCACUCUGCCAAGAUAGAAAUCUAAGUAUUGAGUGUGAUGUCUGCCCGAUGUCGGUAGGGUAACAGAUAUACUUAAUUAUUUAAUUAGGUUUAGAUGAACACCCCGAUUAAUGGCGGCCUUAUCUAUAAGGGUCCUAAGGUAGCGGAAUACCUUGGCCGUUAAAUGCGGUCUUUGCAUGAAUGACAUAACGAUACAACAGCUGUCUCGAUGAUUGGCUCAGUGAAAUUGAAUUAGCAGUGCAGAUGCUGCUUACCUCUAGAUAGACAAGAAGACCCUUUGCAGCUUUACUGUUACCUAUUAUGAUAUAAUUUGAUAAUUUCCAGUGUAUAAGGUAAUAGUUAUGAAAUUGAAACACCUUUAUUUGUUCUAUUAUAUUUUUUAUGGUAGGAAGGCAGUUUAUGCGGGGCACAGAUCCCAUAAAAAGUACCUGGGUAUAUCCAAAGUUCAUAUUGUAAUUUUGUAGAUUUUUAUUUACAAAAAUUCAUUAAAUAUUCUUAUUUUUUGAAUUUUUUAUUUAAUUUGUAAUUAAUUAUUAUUAAUUAUCCAGUUAUUGUUUAUAUUAAGUUAGUUAUUUUUAAUUUUUUUAAGUAAGAUUUUAACUAUAUGGUAAAUAGAUGUAAAUUAAAUAAUAAUAUAACUAUAUUAUUAUUUAGUCAUAUUAAUAGAGAAAUUUUACUUAUUAAUAUGAUGUUUUUUUACUUUAAAAGUUUAAUGGCUUAAUCUUGCUUUACUGUUUGACUUACAAGUCUAUCAGUCGCGUAAGCGGGGCAUAUGAUCACAAGAUUCAUAAAGGAAAGGUCUUGGAUUUAUGAAAAAGUUACGCUAGGGAUAACAGGCUAAUUUGCGCAAGAGAGUACAAAUUGAGUGCGCGGUUUGGCACCUCGAUGUCGGCUUAACUCAUCCACAUGAAUGUAGAAAUCAUGAAGGGUUCGACUGUUCGUCGAUUAAAGAGUUACAUGAGCUGGGUUUAAUACGUCGUGAGACAGUAUGGUUUUUAUCUUCUAGAGGGAUACAGAGUAAAAGAUAAAUAGUCCCUUCGUACGAAAGGAGUUGGGAAUGUUGACCUAUGGUUUACCUGUUGUUUAAUAUUGUUUUUAACUAAUUUACUAUCACUAAAGUAAGAAUUAUGAAUAUACGCCUCAAUCAGAAAUGGUUGCUGUUUGUGUAUAGGAUUGCUUAUUAAGCAUGGCAGGAAAGCUAAGUCAAUUAUAGAUAAGUGCUGAAAGCAUUUAAGCGCGAAGCUUAUUAUAUUAUACUCUUUUAUAUACGUAAUAUAAUAUUACGUAAUAGGCUUUAGUUGUAACAAAUUUAAUUAUUUUUAGACAUAAAGUACUAAUUUAUUAUUAUACUUAAUAUAACACA